CUUCUCCCGCCUCCACCCCCCCGGGACCCCGUGGGAAGCCCUGCCCGCAGCGCUUCAAGAGGCCCGAGUCCGGAAGGCUGGGCAGAGGCUGCGACGGGGACGGGAUGGGACAGAGACCGGUUCCUGCAGAGUAAAUGGGUGGGAGAAUUGAAUCAUCAACCCCACAUGGCUGCUCAGGAAGGAGGUGUUCCAUGACAAUCAGCACAAUACAUCCUUUGCAAAAGCACAAACCGCUCCAUUAUUGUCUUGGGUGAACUCACUUGCAAUAGUUCAUUAGUGGUCUAACCAAAGUGCUCUGCAUCCAGAAGGCCUUCCUCAUUCUUUUAACAAAUACUGGGACCUCGGUAUCUGUCAGCCCCUGAUCUUCAAGCUGAGGAUAUCAAGGUAAACAUGUAGGAUCGUAGCCCUGGGGGAUGGCUGCAGCCCAGACAUUUAACCAAGAAGACCCACCCAAUGAAUGAUUAGGGGACCUUUGUGAUCAGGGCUCUGAGGGAUAACUACAGGUUGCAGGGGACCCUGAGACCAGAAGAAGGAGGAAUUCACCAGGUGAAGACUUAGGGGAGAGCCAAAUCUCUCUUUGACCCAAGCAGAGCCAAAGUCUUUAGGGAGGAGGAGAAAGAGCCAUGAGUGUGUGCUGGAAGGCUUCAGCAUCACAAAGAUAGCCAUUUUCUGCAAAUCAACCUAUAUUAUCAAAACAAAUCCCAGCAGAGUUUUGUGGAACUUGGCAAGCUGCUCUUAAAACCUGAAUGGAAGAGCAAAGGGCCAGGUGUAACCAAGACAGUCUUGACUAAACAGGGAGGUGAGCCAUGGGCUGUUGUUCAGCCAGAUAUCAAGACACACCAUGAAACUCUAACAGCAUAGGGUUGGUGCCAGGAUGGAUUACUGGACUAAGGAAACGAAAUAAGGAGCCUACGAAGAGUUUCCACAAGCAUGUGGACACUCAGUGUAGGCCAGAAAUGGGGCUACAGAUCAGCGGAGGAAGAAUUGCUGAACCCAAAAGAAUUGGAAACAGGUGGGCAAACAAGACCUUGCACGGGCAUGCUGAUAGCAUCGCUAUUGAUAACAGCAGAAAAGCGGAAACAAUCCAAGUGUCCUUCAAGCAGUGACUGGAUAAAGAAAACCUGGUACAUCCAUACAGUGGAAUAUUAUUUGGCAUAAAAAGGAAUGAAAUACCGAUUCAUGUUACCAUGUGGAUGAACCUUGAAAACAUGCUAAGUGAAAGAAACCAGACACAAAAGAUCAUGUAUUGUAUGACUCAACUUUAUGGAAAUAUCCAAAAUAGGCAAAUUCAUAGAGACAGAAAGCAGAUAAAUGGUUACCAGGGGCUGGGGGAGGGAGCUCGGGAGUGACUGCCAAGUGGGUACUUGGUUUCCUCUCGGGCUGAUGAAGAACACUGUGGAAAUAGACAGUGCCGAGGGUUCCACAGCACGGUGAAUGCAUUAAAUGGCCUGAACUGUGCACUUAAACACGGCUUACCCAUUUUGAAUGUGAAUUUUAUGUGAUGACCUUUAUCACAAUUUUAAAAAGUGUUUCUGAGCAAUCCAUAUGAAAAGUAAAAUUAGA
Molecule: long non-coding RNA, 1563 nt
Organism: Capra hircus (goat)
Lineage: Eukaryota; Metazoa; Chordata; Mammalia; Artiodactyla; Bovidae
Exons: 3
Source: RefSeq, a predicted model, not a curated record